UUUUUUUUUAAAAAUUUCUUAAUUACAUUUCUUCCUCAGAUAAGAGAAUAAAUUUUCGUGUGUGUUUAAAAGAUCUUUGUGAAACGGAGAAAGCGAAAUGUUUGCCAUGCAGCCAUUUUUAUCCUAAGGAACGUAUUCUUCAGUGGUUUAGAAUGAAUGGUACUUGUCCCUUGUGCAGAAAAUCUGCGGCAGCCUUCUGAAGCGGGAACUGAAACUGUUAUGAUGUUUCGAACAAGACUUGUAUAUAUAAGAAUUACUUCAGUUAUUGGCCUUAACUUUUCCAUGUUAUGAUGCAGAGAACCACCGCCAGUCCAUUGCAACUUACUUCUACCAAGUCAUCUUAUUACAAUAAAAAUGCAGUCUUAUCACUAUAAUGGAGCAGUUUUACUACAUCUAUAUGAGAAAGGAUGGGGCAGAGGACUGGAAGAGGGUAUGACCUCUCUCACCAAGGAGGAUGUGGUAAUUGGUUUCAGCUGUAGUUCCCUGUUUUGAGCUCCGAUAUCUGCUUGUUUCUUUUGUUAGAAAUGACCACAUCUGCUUCAUAAGGAUUUAUUAGGUUCUCCGAAAAGUUGAAAAAUGCAAAUUUGCAGCUUAGAUCAAAAGUUGUCUUUGAAAUCUAGAGAAACAAAGUAUUUUUCCAUAAUUUUUUUUCAUCGCACAGUCUGCUGACAGAUUUGUCUAACAAAGGCUUUAAGGUAAUUGGCACAGUACAAGAUUCGAGAAUGGAACAAAGUCCUCUUAAAACAGCAAAAGAAAUGUCAAAAUUUCAAAUUGGGUAAUUUGUAUAUGUGCCGUUGAAACUACAGUUCUGUUGUAACUAUUUCAUCAAAUGUUAUCACUCACAAACCAUUAGAAAGAGCAAAAAGAUGUGUCCAAGCUU
Stegodyphus dumicola is the source of this 880-nucleotide long non-coding RNA. Lineage: Eukaryota; Metazoa; Arthropoda; Arachnida; Araneae; Eresidae. The record is from RefSeq and is a predicted model, not a curated record.